Molecule: long non-coding RNA, 127 nt
Organism: Etheostoma spectabile (orangethroat darter)
Lineage: Eukaryota; Metazoa; Chordata; Actinopteri; Perciformes; Percidae
Exons: 3
Source: RefSeq, a predicted model, not a curated record
AGUGCUACGUGGGCAUCUUGUAUUUACGUUCAUAAUAGUGCUCGUUUUGCAGUUGACAGACUAAGAUUAAUAUUCUAAGUGUCUGAUAACAUUAUGGAAAGGAUUGCUAAGGAGGCUGACCUUUCUG